RNAcentral lists this ribosomal RNA (162 nucleotides) under Senecio macrospermus. Its description in RNAcentral is "5.8S ribosomal RNA". It matches the Rfam family "5.8S ribosomal RNA". Rfam says of the family: 5.8S ribosomal RNA (5.8S rRNA) is a component of the large subunit of the eukaryotic ribosome. It is transcribed by RNA polymerase I as part of the 45S precursor that also contains 18S and 28S rRNA. Lineage: Eukaryota; Viridiplantae; Streptophyta; Magnoliopsida; Asterales; Asteraceae. The record is from RNAcentral.
AACGACUCUCGGCAACGGAUAUCUCGGCUCACGCAUCGAUGAAGAACGUAGCAAAAUGCGAUACUUGGUGUGAAUUGCAGAAUCCCGUGAACCAUCGAGUUUUUGAACGCAAGUUGCGCCCGAAGCCUUUUGGUUGAGGGCACGCCUGCCUGGGCGUCACAC